RNAcentral lists this ribosomal RNA (425 nucleotides) under Francisella-like endosymbiont of Hyalomma marginatum. RNAcentral's name for it is "bacterial SSU rRNA". It matches the Rfam family "Bacterial small subunit ribosomal RNA", at positions 507 to 928 of the family's 1533-position model. The record is from RNAcentral. Lineage: Bacteria; Pseudomonadati; Pseudomonadota; Gammaproteobacteria; Thiotrichales; Francisellaceae.
GCCAGCAGCCGCGGUAAUACGGGGGGUGCAAGCGUUAAUCGGAAUUACUGGGCGUAAAGGGUCUGUAGGUGGUUUGUUAAGUCAGAUGUGAAAGCCCAGGGCUCAACCUUGGAACUGCAUUUGAUACUGGCACACUAGAGUACGGUAGAGGAAUGAGGAAUUUCUGGUGUAGCGGUGAAAUGCGUAGAGAUCAGAAGGAACACCAAUGGCGAAGGCAACAUUCUGGACCGAUACUGACACUGAGGGACGAAAGCGUGGGGAUCAAACAGGAUUAGAUACCCUGGUAGUCCAUGCUGUAAACGAUGAGUACUAGCUGUUGGAGUCGGUGUAAAGGCUCUAGUGGCGCAGCUAACGCGAUAAGUACUCCGCCUGGGGACUACGGCCGCAAGGCUAAAACUCAAAGGAAUUGACGGGGAUCCGCACAA